RNAcentral lists this ribosomal RNA (408 nucleotides) under uncultured bacterium. Its description in RNAcentral is "partial 16S ribosomal RNA". It matches the Rfam family "Bacterial small subunit ribosomal RNA", at positions 28 to 526 of the family's 1533-position model. The record is from RNAcentral.
GACGAACGCUGGCGGCGUGCUUAACACAUGCAAGUCGAACGAAGUGGCGAACGGGUGAGUAACGGGUAAUCAACCUGCACUUCAGAGGGGGACAACAGGUGGAAACGAAUGCUAAUACCGCAUACUGAAGGAGGGGAUUGCGUCUGAUUAGCUAGUUGGAGGGGUAACGGCCCACAAAGGCGAUGAUCAGUAGCCGGGCUGAGAGUAUGAACGGCCCAACUGGUACUGAGACACGGCCCAGACUCCUACGGUAGGCAGCAGUGGGGAAUCUUCCGAAAUGGACGAAAGUCUGACGGAGCAACGCCGCGUGAGUGAUGACGGCCUUCGGGUUGUAAAGCUCUGUUAAUCGGGACGCGGUACCGGAAUAGAAAGCCACGGCUAACUACGUGCCAGCAGCCGCGGUAAUUC